AUUGAACGCUGGCGGCAUGCUUUACACAUGCAAGUCGAACGGUAACAGGCCGCAAGGUGCUGACGAGUGGCGAACGGGUGAGUAAUGCAUCGGAACGUGCCCAGUCGUGGGGGAUAACUACUCGAAAGAGUAGCUAAUACCGCAUACGAUCUAUGGAUGAAAGCGGGGGACCGUAAGGCCUCGCGCGAUUGGAGCGGCCCAUGUCAGAUUAGGUAGUUGGUGGGGUAAAGGCUCACCAAGCCAACGAUCUGUAGCUGGUCUGAGAGGACGACCAGCCACACUGGAACUGGAACACGGCCCAGACUCCUACGGGAGGCAGCAGUGGGGAAUUUUGGACAAUGGGCGCAAGCCUGAUCCAGCAAUGCCGCGUGCAGGAAGAAGGCCUUCGGGUUGUAAACUGCUUUUGUACGGAACGAAACGGCUCUGGUUAAUACCCGGGGCUAAUGACGGUACCGUAAGAAUAAGCACCGGCUAACUACGUG
This 482-nucleotide ribosomal RNA is filed under the name uncultured bacterium. Its description in RNAcentral is "partial 16S ribosomal RNA". It matches the Rfam family "Bacterial small subunit ribosomal RNA", at positions 30 to 507 of the family's 1533-position model. The record is from RNAcentral.